GACGAACGCUGGCGGCGUGCUUAACACAUGCAAGUCGAACGGAAAGGCCCUGCUUUUGUGGGGUGCCCGAGUGGCGAACGGGUGAGUAACACGUGAGUAACCUGCCCUUGACUUUGGGAUAACUUCAGGAAACUGGGGCUAAUACCGGAUAGGAGCUCCUGCUGCAUGGUGGGGGUUGGAAAGUUUCGGCGGUUGGGGAUGGACUCGCGGCUUAUCAGCUUGUUGGUGGGGUAGUGGCUUACCAAGGCUUUGACGGGUAGCCGGCCUGAGAGGGUGACCGGCCACAUUGGGACUGAGAUACGGCCCAGACUCCUACGGGAGGCAGCAGUGGGGAAUAUUGCACAAUGGGCGGAAGCCUGAUGCAGCAACGCCGCGUGCGGGAUGACGGCCUUCGGGUUGUAAACCGCUUUCGCCUGUGACGAAGCGUGAGUGACGGUAAUGGGUAAAGAAGCACCGGCUAACUACGUGCCAGCAGCCGCGGUGAUACGUAGGGUGCGAGCGUUGUCCGGAUUUAUUGGGCGUAAAGGGCUCGUAGGUGGUUGAUCGCGUCGGAAGUGUAAUCUUGGGGCUUAACCCUGAGCGUGCUUUCGAUACGGGUUGACUUGAGGAAGGUAGGGGAGAAUGGAAUUCCUGGUGGAGCGGUGGAAUGCGCAGAUAUCAGGAGGAACACCAGUGGCGAAGGCGGUUCUCUGGGCCUUUCCUGACGCUGAGGAGCGAAAGCGUGGGGAGCGAACAGGCUUAGAUACCCUGGUAGUCCACGCUGUAAACGGUGGGUACUAGGCGUGGGGUCCAUUCCACGGGUUCCGUGCCGUAGCUAACGCUUUAAGUACCCCGCCUGGGGAGUACGGCCGCAAGGCUAAAACUCAAAGGAAUUGACGGGGCCCCGCACAAGCGGCGGAGCAUGCGGAUUAAUUCGAUGCAACGCGUAGAACCUUACCUGGGUUUGACAUGGAUCGGGAGUGCUCAGAGAUGGGUGUGCCUCUUUUGGGGUCGGUUCACAGGUGGUGCAUGGCUGUCGUCAGCUCGUGUCGUGAGAUGUUGGGUUAAGUCCCGCAACGAGCGCAACCCUUGUUCACUGUUGCCAGCACGUUAUGGUGGGGACUCAGUGGAGACCGCCGGGGUCAACUCGGAGGAAGGUGGGGAUGACGUCAAGUCAUCAUGCCCCUUAUGUCCAGGGCUUCACGCAUGCUACAAUGGCUGGUACAGAGAGUGGCGAGCCUGUGAGGGUGAGCGAAUCUCGGAAAGCCGGUCUCAGUUCGGAUUGGGGUCUGCAACUCGACCUCAUGAAGUCGGAGUCGCUAGUAAUCGCAGAUCAGCAACGCUGCGGUGAAUACGUUCCCGGGGCU
Molecule: ribosomal RNA, 1346 nt
Filed under: uncultured bacterium
Lineage: Bacteria
Description: partial 16S ribosomal RNA
Rfam family: Bacterial small subunit ribosomal RNA
Source: RNAcentral